GACGAACCGUGCGAACGUUAUUCGGAAUCACUGGGCUUAAAGGGCUCGUAGGCGGCCAACUAAGUCAGACGUGAAAUCCCUCAGCUUAACUGGGGAACUGCGUCUGAUACUGGAUGGCUUGGAUUCGGGAGAGGAAUGCGGAAUUCCAGGUGUAGCGGUGAAAUGCGUAGAUAUCUGGAGGAACACCGGUGGCGAAGGCGGCAUUCUGGACCGACAUUGACGCUGAGGAGCGAAAGCCAGGGGAGCAAACGGG
Molecule: ribosomal RNA, 253 nt
Filed under: uncultured bacterium
Lineage: Bacteria
Description: partial 16S ribosomal RNA
Rfam family: Bacterial small subunit ribosomal RNA
Source: RNAcentral